UUUAAAUUGAGAGUUUGAUCCUGGCUCAGGACGAACGCUGGCGGCGUGCUUAACACAUGCAAGUCGAGCGAAGUUAUUCCUUCGGGGAU
This 89-nucleotide ribosomal RNA is filed under the name Clostridium algidicarnis DSM 15099. Its description in RNAcentral is "partial 16S ribosomal RNA". It matches the Rfam family "Bacterial small subunit ribosomal RNA", at positions 1 to 87 of the family's 1533-position model. The record is from RNAcentral. Lineage: Bacteria; Bacillati; Bacillota; Clostridia; Eubacteriales; Clostridiaceae.